Molecule: ribosomal RNA, 253 nt
Filed under: uncultured bacterium
Lineage: Bacteria
Description: partial 16S ribosomal RNA
Rfam family: Bacterial small subunit ribosomal RNA
Source: RNAcentral
UACGUAGGGGGCAAGCGUUGUCCGGAAUUACUGGGCGUAAAGCGCGUGUAGGCGGGACGGCAAGUCGGACGUGAAAGGCUCGGGCUCAACCCGAGAUGGCCGUUCGAAACUGCCGUUCUUGAGGGUCGAAGAGGAGAGUGGAAUUCCUGGUGUAGCGGUGAAAUGCGUAGAUAUCUGGAGGAACACCGGUGGCGAAGGCGGCAUCCUGGACCGACACUGACGCUGAGGCGCGAAAGCUAGGGUAGCAAACGGG